UCCCCAGUGGCACAAUCGGUUAGCGCGCCGUACUUAUAAUGCGGAGGUUGUGAGUUCAAGCCUCACCUGGGGAA
RNAcentral lists this transfer RNA (74 nucleotides) under Saccoglossus kowalevskii. RNAcentral describes it as "tRNA-Ile". It matches the Rfam family "tRNA". Rfam says of the family: Transfer RNA (tRNA) molecules are approximately 80 nucleotides in length. Their secondary structure includes four short double-helical elements and three loops (D, anti-codon, and T loops). Further hydrogen bonds mediate the characteristic L-shaped molecular structure. tRNAs have two regions of fundamental functional importance: the anti-codon, which is responsible for specific mRNA codon recognition, and the 3' end, to which the tRNAs corresponding amino acid is attached (by aminoacyl-tRNA synthetases). tRNAs cope with the degeneracy of the genetic code in two manners: having more than one tRNA (with a specific anti-codon) for a particular amino acid; and 'wobble' base-pairing, i.e. permitting non-standard base-pairing at the 3rd anti-codon position. The record is from RNAcentral. Lineage: Eukaryota; Metazoa; Hemichordata; Enteropneusta; Harrimaniidae.